ACGUAGGUCACAAGCGUUGUCCGGAAUUACUGGGUGCAAAGGGAGCGCAGGCGGGAGAACAAGUUGGAAGUGAAAUCCAUGGGCUCAACCCAUGAACUGCUUUCAAAACUGUUUUUCUUGAGUAGUGCAGAGGUAGGCGGAAUUCCCGGUGUAGCGGUGGAAUGCGUAGAUAUCGGGAGGAACACCAGUGGCGAAGGCGGCCUACUGGGCACCAACUGACGCUGAGGCUCGAAAGUGUGGGUAGCAAACAG
RNAcentral lists this ribosomal RNA (251 nucleotides) under uncultured bacterium. RNAcentral's name for it is "partial 16S ribosomal RNA". It matches the Rfam family "Bacterial small subunit ribosomal RNA", at positions 525 to 775 of the family's 1533-position model. The record is from RNAcentral.